RNAcentral lists this ribosomal RNA (264 nucleotides) under uncultured archaeon. Its description in RNAcentral is "partial 16S ribosomal RNA". It matches the Rfam family "Archaeal small subunit ribosomal RNA", at positions 76 to 339 of the family's 1478-position model. The record is from RNAcentral.
ACAAGGCAGACGGCUCAGUAACGCGUAGUCAACGUAACCUAUGGACGGGAAUAACCUCGGGAAACUGAGAAUAUAGCCCGAUAGAACACUAUACCUGGAAUGGUUUGAGUUCCAAAUGAUUUAUCGCCGUAGGAUGGGACUGCGGCCUAUCAGUUUGUUGGGGAGGGUUUGGCCCACCAAGACUAUUACAGGUACGGGCUCUGAGAGGAGUAGCCCGGAGAUGGGUACUGAGACACGGACCCAGGCCCUACGGGGCGCAGCAGG